CGUGGGGAGCAACAGGAUUAGAUACCCUGGUAGUCACGCUGUAAACGAUGUCGAUUUGGAGUGUUCCUUGGAGUGGCUUCCGGAGCUAACGCGUUAAAUCGACCGCCUGGGGAGUACGGCCGCAAGGUUAAAACUCAAAUGAAUUGACGGGGGCCCGCACAAGCGGUGGAGCAUGUGGUUUAAUUCGAUGCAACGCGAAGAACCUUACCUACUCUUGACAUCCAGAGAAUUUAGCAGAGAUGCUUUAGUGCCUUCGGGAACUCUGAGACAGGUGCUGCAUGGCUGUCGUCAGCUCGUGUUGUGAAAUGUUGGGUUAAGUCCCGCAACGAGCGCAACCCUUAUCCUUUGUUGCCAGCACAUUAUGGUGGGAACUCAAAGGAGACUGCCGGUGAUAAACCGGAGGAAGGUGGGGAUGACGUCAAGUCAUCAUGGCCCUUACGAGUAGGGCUACACACGUGCUACAAUGGCGUAUACAAAGAGAAGCGACCUCGCGAGAGCAAGCGGAACUCAUAAAGUACGUCGUAGUCCGGAUUGGAGUCUGCAACUCGACUCCAUGAAGUCGGAAUCGCUAGUAAUCGUAGAUCAGAAUGCUACGGUGAAUACGUUCCCGGGCCUUGUACACACCGCCCGUCACACCAUGGGAGUGGGUUGCAAAAGAAGUAGGUAGCUUAACCUUCGGGAGGGCGCUUACCACUUUGUGAUUCAUGACUGGGGUGAAGUCGUAACAAGGUAACCA
RNAcentral lists this ribosomal RNA (736 nucleotides) under uncultured Providencia sp. RNAcentral describes it as "bacterial SSU rRNA". It matches the Rfam family "Bacterial small subunit ribosomal RNA", at positions 760 to 1502 of the family's 1533-position model. The record is from RNAcentral. Lineage: Bacteria; Pseudomonadati; Pseudomonadota; Gammaproteobacteria; Enterobacterales; Morganellaceae.